This 439-nucleotide ribosomal RNA is filed under the name uncultured bacterium. RNAcentral describes it as "partial 16S ribosomal RNA". It matches the Rfam family "Bacterial small subunit ribosomal RNA", at positions 338 to 795 of the family's 1533-position model. The record is from RNAcentral.
CCUACGGGAGGCAGCAGUGGGGAAUAUUGCACAAUGGGCGAAAGCCUGAUGCAGCAACGCCGCGUGAGCGAUGAAGGCCUUCGGGUCGUAAAGCUCUGUCCUCAAGGAAGAUAAUGACGGUACUUGAGGAGGAAGCCCCGGCUAACUACGUGCCAGCAGCCGCGGUAAUACGUAGGGGGCUAGCGUUAUCCGGAAUUACUGGGCGUAAGGGGUGCGUAGGUGGUUUCUUAAGUCAGAGGUGAAAGGCUAUGGCUCAACCGUAGUAAGCCUUUGAAACUGGGGAACUUGAGUGCAGGAGAGGAGAGUGGAAUUCCUGGUGUAGCGGUGAAAUGCGUAGAUAUUAGGAGGAACCCCAGUUGCGAAGGCGGCUCUCUGGACUGUAACUGACACUGAGGCACGAAAGCGUGGGGAGCAAACAGGAUUAGAUACCCGUGUAGUC